UGGGGAAUAUUGGACAAUGGGGGCAACCCUGAUCCAGCGAUGCCGCGUGUGUGAAGAAGGCCUGCGGGUUGUAAAGCACUUUGAGUGGGGAGGAAGGGAUAGCUGCGAAUAGUGGUUAUUUUUGACGUUACCCACAGAACAAGCACCGGCUAACUCUGUGCCAGCAGCCGCGGUAAUACAGAGGGUGCAAGCGUUAAUCGGAAUUACUGGGCGUAAAGGGCGCGUAGGUGGGUAGAUAAGUCAGAUGUGAAAGCCCUGGGCUUAACCUAGGAACUGCAUUUGAUACUGUUUAUCUAGAGUGAAGUAGAGGGUAGUGGAAUUUCCGGUGUAGCGGUGAAAUGCGUAGAUAUCGGAAGGAACACCAGUGGCGAAGGCGACUACCUGGACUUCAACUGACACUGAGGCGCGAAAGCGUGGGGAGCGAACAGGAUUAGAUACCCCGGUAGUCC
This 449-nucleotide ribosomal RNA is filed under the name uncultured bacterium. Its description in RNAcentral is "bacterial SSU rRNA". It matches the Rfam family "Bacterial small subunit ribosomal RNA", at positions 355 to 796 of the family's 1533-position model. The record is from RNAcentral.